GAUGAACGCUGGCGGCGUGCCUAAUACAUGCAAGUCGAGCGAACGGACGAGAAGCUUGCUUCUCUGAUGUUAGCGGCGGACGGGUGAGUAACACGUGGAUAACCUACCUAUAAGACUGGGAUAACUUCGGGAAACCGGAGCUAAUACCGGAUAAUAUUUUGAACCGCAUGGUUCAAAAGUGAAAGACGGUCUUGCUGUCACUUAUAGAUGGAUCCGCGCUGCAUUAGCUAGUUGGUGAGGUAACGGCUUACCAAGGCAACGAUGCAUAGCCGACCUGAGAGGGUGAUCGGCCACACUGGAACUGAGACACGGUCCAGACUCCUACGGGAGGCAGCAGUAGGGAAUCUUCCGCAAUGGGCGAAAGCCUGACGGAGCAACGCCGCGUGAGUGAUGAAGGUCUUCGGAUCGUAAAACUCUGUUAUUAGUGAAGAACAUAUGUGUAAGUAACUGUGCACAUCUUGACGGUACCUAAUCAGAAAGCCACGGCUAACUACGUG
RNAcentral lists this ribosomal RNA (497 nucleotides) under uncultured bacterium. RNAcentral's name for it is "partial 16S ribosomal RNA". It matches the Rfam family "Bacterial small subunit ribosomal RNA", at positions 28 to 507 of the family's 1533-position model. The record is from RNAcentral.